RNAcentral lists this ribosomal RNA (465 nucleotides) under Porphyromonas sp. oral taxon 279. Its description in RNAcentral is "bacterial SSU rRNA". It matches the Rfam family "Bacterial small subunit ribosomal RNA", at positions 28 to 482 of the family's 1533-position model. The record is from RNAcentral. Lineage: Bacteria; Pseudomonadati; Bacteroidota; Bacteroidia; Bacteroidales; Porphyromonadaceae.
GAUGAACGCUAGCGAUAGGCUUAACACAUGCAAGUCGAGGGGCAGCAUGGUCUUAGCUUGCUAAGACUGAUGGCGACCGGCGCACGGGUGCGUAACGCGUAUGCAACUUGCCUCACAGAGGGGGAUAACCCGUCGAAAGACGGACUAAUACCGCGUACACUCUAUGUUGGGCAUCCAAUGUAGAGGAAAUGAAAUUCGCUGUGAGAUAGGCAUGCGUCCCAUUAGCUAGUUGGUGAGGUAACGGCUCACCAAGGCGACGAUGGGUAGGGGAACUGAGAGGUUGAACCCCCACACUGGUACUGAGACACGGACCAGACUCCUACGGGAGGCAGCAGUGAGGAAUAUUGGUCAAUGGGCGAGAGCCUGAACCAGCCAAGUCGCGUGAAGGAUGACUGUCUUAUGGAUUGUAAACUUCUUUUAUACGGGAAUAACAAGAGUCACGUGUGGCUCCCUGCAUGUACCGUA